UCAUGGGUUCCACUGGCAACUGAAGAAAUAUCUGGACUAAGGCUUUGGCAGGCACCAAUGUGCUUCCAUUUUCUGGGUAGCACUUUUGUAUAUUUGUAGAGACUUGUGGAAGGAGAGCUUCGAAUCCUAAAGCAUGCCUCUACUGAUGGACGCUGUGGCCCAGGCACACAGGAGGCUUUCCCACAAAUCCACAGGCUGGAGCUCUACGAUGAACAGGAGCUCUCCGUGUUUGCAAGACGGACUCCUAAGGCUGGUCAGGAUCUCCCUGAGAAGGUCACAUUGAACCUGAGCCCUGGUAAAUAACCUGG
This 308-nucleotide long non-coding RNA is filed under the name Callithrix jacchus (white-tufted-ear marmoset). Its description in RNAcentral is "lncRNA (ENSCJAG00000063992.2)". The record is from RNAcentral. Lineage: Eukaryota; Metazoa; Chordata; Mammalia; Primates; Cebidae.